Sebastes umbrosus (honeycomb rockfish) is the source of this 81-nucleotide small nucleolar RNA. RefSeq annotates it as small nucleolar RNA SNORD74. The record is from RefSeq and is a predicted model, not a curated record. The transcript has a single exon. Lineage: Eukaryota; Metazoa; Chordata; Actinopteri; Perciformes; Sebastidae.
CCCAUGGCUAUAUGAUGAGAUCUAUGUUGGUAGGGACAUCUGAAUAAAUAUGUAGAAUGCCAACAUUUCUGACUGCUUGGG